Molecule: ribosomal RNA, 371 nt
Filed under: uncultured bacterium
Lineage: Bacteria
Also listed under: 1 other name
Description: bacterial SSU rRNA
Rfam family: Bacterial small subunit ribosomal RNA
Source: RNAcentral
GUAGGUGGCAAGCGUUGUCCGGAUUUAUUGGGCGUAAAGCGAGUGCAGGCGGUUCAAUAAGUCUGAUGUGAAAGCCUUCGGCUCAACCGGAGAAUUGCAUCAGAAACUGUUGAACUUGAGUGCAGAAGAGGAGAGUGGAACUCCAUGUGUAGCGGUGGAAUGCGUAGAUAUAUGGAAGAACACCAGUGGCGAAGGCGGCUCUCUGGUCUGCAACUGACGCUGAGGCUCGAAAGCAUGGGUAGCGAACAGGAUUAGAUACCCUGGUAGUCCAUGCCGUAAACGAUGAGUGCUAAGUGUUGGGAGGUUUCCGCCUCUCAGUGCUGCAGCUAACGCAUUAAGCACUCCGCCUGGGGAGUACGACCGCAAGGUUG